GAUGAAGAACGCAGCGAAAUGCGAUACUUGGUGUGAAUUGCAGAAUCCCGUGAACCAUCGAGUCUUUGAACGCAAGUUGCGCCCGAAGCCACUAGGCCGAGGGCACGCCUGCCUGGGCGUCACACGUCGUUGCCCCCCCAUCUACUCCUUCGGGAUUGCGGGGGGGCGGAUGAUGGCCUCCCGUGCGCCUAGCCGCGCGGUUGGCAUAAAUACCAAGUCCUCGGCGACGCACGCCACGACAAUCGGUGGUUGCGAAACCUCGGUUGCCCGUCGUGUGCGUUCGUCGCGCAUCGAGGACUCGAAAAAAUGCUCGGCUCCGGCUGGGCUUUCAACGCGACCCCAGGUCAGGCGGGGUUACCCGCUGAAUUUAAGCAUAUCAAUAAGCGGAGGA
RNAcentral lists this unclassified non-coding RNA (391 nucleotides) under soil metagenome. RNAcentral's name for it is "partial contains 5.8S ribosomal RNA, internal transcribed spacer 2, and large subunit ribosomal RNA". The stretch from base 1 to 122 matches the Rfam family "5.8S ribosomal RNA", at positions 35 to 154 of the family's 154-position model. The record is from RNAcentral.